CGAACGCUGAAGCUCCCAGCUUGCUGGGGGUGGAUGAGUGGCGAACGGGUGAGUAUCACGUGAGUAACCUGCCCUUGACUCUGGGAUAAGCCCGGGAAACUGGGUCUAAUACUGGAUAGGACUGGCCAUCGCAUGGUGGUUGGUUGAAAGCUUUUGCGGUUUUGGAUGGACUCGCGGCCUAUCAGCUUGUUGGUGGGGUAAUGGCCUACCAAGGCUUUGACGGGUAGCCGGCCUGAGAGGGUGACCGGCCACACUGGGACUGAGACACGGCCCAGACUCCUACGGGAGG
This 289-nucleotide ribosomal RNA is filed under the name uncultured Micrococcus MC5. RNAcentral's name for it is "partial 16S ribosomal RNA". It matches the Rfam family "Bacterial small subunit ribosomal RNA", at positions 63 to 348 of the family's 1533-position model. The record is from RNAcentral. Lineage: Bacteria; Bacillati; Actinomycetota; Actinomycetes; Micrococcales; Micrococcaceae.